GUGGGGAAUAUUGGACAAUGGGCGAAAGCCUGAUCCAGCCAUGCCGCGUGUGUGAAGAAGGUCUUCGGAUUGUAAAGCACUUUAAGUUGGGAGGAAGGGCAGUAAGUUAAUACCUUGCUGUUUUGACGUUACCGACAGAAUAAGCACCGGCUAACUUCGUGCCAGCAGCCGCGGUAAUACGAAGGGUGCAAGCGUUAAUCGGAAUUACUGGGCGUAAAGCGCGCGUAGGUGGUUUUGUAAGUUGGAGGUGAAAUCCCCGGGCUCAACCUGGGAACUGCCUCCAAAACUGCAUGACUAGAGUACGGUAGAGGGUAGUGGAAUUUCCGGUGUAGCGGUGAAAUGCGUAGAUAUAGGAAGGAACACCAGUGGCGAAGGCGACUACCUGGACUGAUACUGACACUGAGGUGCGAAAGCGUGGGGAGCAAACAGGAUUAGAUACCCGAGUAGUCC
This 450-nucleotide ribosomal RNA is filed under the name uncultured bacterium. RNAcentral describes it as "partial 16S ribosomal RNA". It matches the Rfam family "Bacterial small subunit ribosomal RNA", at positions 354 to 796 of the family's 1533-position model. The record is from RNAcentral.